RNAcentral lists this transfer RNA (118 nucleotides) under Plenodomus lingam JN3. RNAcentral's name for it is "tRNA-Arg for anticodon UCU". It matches the Rfam family "tRNA". From Rfam's summary of the family: Transfer RNA (tRNA) molecules are approximately 80 nucleotides in length. Their secondary structure includes four short double-helical elements and three loops (D, anti-codon, and T loops). Further hydrogen bonds mediate the characteristic L-shaped molecular structure. tRNAs have two regions of fundamental functional importance: the anti-codon, which is responsible for specific mRNA codon recognition, and the 3' end, to which the tRNAs corresponding amino acid is attached (by aminoacyl-tRNA synthetases). tRNAs cope with the degeneracy of the genetic code in two manners: having more than one tRNA (with a specific anti-codon) for a particular amino acid; and 'wobble' base-pairing, i.e. permitting non-standard base-pairing at the 3rd anti-codon position. The record is from Rfam by way of RNAcentral. Lineage: Eukaryota; Fungi; Ascomycota; Dothideomycetes; Pleosporales; Leptosphaeriaceae.
GUCUCGGUGGCGCAAUGGUAGCGCGUUGGACUUCUACUAUUGUUGAAAAUAAACGGGGAUGAGCUUGUUUGUUUGCUUGGUGAUCCAAAGGCUGCGGGUUCGAGCCCCGCCCGAGAUG